RNAcentral lists this unclassified non-coding RNA (166 nucleotides) under uncultured Mortierella. Its description in RNAcentral is "sequence contains ITS1". The record is from RNAcentral. Lineage: Eukaryota; Fungi; Mortierellomycota; Mortierellomycetes; Mortierellales; Mortierellaceae.
UAAUGAGUGUUUAUGGCACUUUUAAAAAUCCAUACCCACCUUGUGUGCAUCGUUAGUCAUGUUCCUUGUUCUCUCUUGAGAGGACAAGGAGGCAGGCUUCAAAUUAAUCUAUCUUUAACCAGUUUGUCUGAAGCAAUGUAUCAUGAGUUAACAUAAUUCUAAAAUC